Molecule: long non-coding RNA, 98 nt
Organism: Ipomoea nil (Japanese morning glory)
Lineage: Eukaryota; Viridiplantae; Streptophyta; Magnoliopsida; Solanales; Convolvulaceae
Exons: 4
Source: RefSeq, a predicted model, not a curated record
AAAAUGGAGAUGAGACUAUCCACAACAGUGAUAAUAAUAACUGCAGUGAAGACAAGGCAGAAAACCAAGAUGAAGAAGAGGAAUAAGAGGAAAGGGAG